Molecule: ribosomal RNA, 301 nt
Filed under: uncultured bacterium
Lineage: Bacteria
Description: partial 16S ribosomal RNA
Rfam family: Bacterial small subunit ribosomal RNA
Source: RNAcentral
CAGUAGCCGCGGUAAUACGAAGGGUGCAAGCGUUACUCGGAAUUACUGGGCGUAAAGCGUGCGUAGGUGGUGGUUUAAGUCCGUUGUGAAAGCCCUGGGCUCAACCUGGGAAUUGCAGUGGAUACUGGGUCACUAGAGUGUGGUAGAGGAUAGUGGAAUUUCCGGUGUAGCAGUGAAAUGCGUAGGGAUCGGAAGGAACAUCUGUGGCGAAGGCGACUAUCUGGGCCAACACUGACACUGAGGCACGAAAGCGUGGGGAGCAAACAGGAUUAGAUACCCCCGUAGUCCCUGUCUCUUAUAC